This 560-nucleotide long non-coding RNA is filed under the name Spirodela polyrhiza (greater duckweed). RNAcentral describes it as "long non-coding RNA (SPOL_LNC001688)". Lineage: Eukaryota; Viridiplantae; Streptophyta; Magnoliopsida; Alismatales; Araceae. The record is from RNAcentral.
UACGAUGUUCCAAGUAGGUUUUUUUGUUACAGGUAUGAUUGCUUCAACCGGUCAGAAGGUAAUGUGUCUGGAAAAGGAUGAGAUGAGAAGAGAGAAAUUUUUAGCCACUUACAGGUGGUUCGUGGGGAUAAUCUGGAGGAAAGCAUAUGUCGAAGAAGAAGAGGCCGUCGUGGUAAGGAGUUCCAGGUGUGCCAAUAACCGCAGCUCUCAUCAGAUCCAUCCUUUCCUCGUAAACUCUGACGUAAAUUGUCUCUGUCCAAUUCAGAAGAGCAACAGGAUGUCAGCGGCGAACGACAGGAAAGUCAAACCUUCCGUUUCAUUCCAGUAGCCUGAGGUGACGUGCAAACAGCUGAACCCUGGGAAGACUUCACCGUCGUGCAUUGCUUAUUUACAGGAAAUCAGGAAAAUAAAGGAUAUAAAUUUUAAUUGAACAAGAAAAUCUACAUGAACCGUUUGUGGCCCGCUGAGUUGUUUCCAUUAUUAGAAAAGGUGAUUAUUUUGAGGUUAAGUCCUCAGUUCAGAUUCAAUGAAUAGAAACAGAUUAGUAAGAACCAACCUGG